RNAcentral lists this unclassified non-coding RNA (174 nucleotides) under uncultured fungus. RNAcentral's name for it is "sequence contains ITS1, 5.8S rRNA gene". The record is from RNAcentral. Lineage: Eukaryota; Fungi.
CCGAGCGAGAAUUCUCUGAAUUCAACCUCCCACCCGUGUUUAUUGUACCUUGUUGCUUCGGUGCGCCCGCCUCACGGCCGCCGGGGGGCACCCGCCCCCGGGCCCGCGCCCGCCGAAGACACCAUUGAACGCUGUCUGAAGAUUGCAGUCUGAGCAUCUUAGCUAAAUCAGUUA